RNAcentral lists this ribosomal RNA (270 nucleotides) under uncultured Eubacteriales bacterium. Its description in RNAcentral is "uncultured Clostridiales bacterium partial 16S ribosomal RNA". It matches the Rfam family "Bacterial small subunit ribosomal RNA", at positions 68 to 339 of the family's 1533-position model. The record is from RNAcentral. Lineage: Bacteria; Bacillati; Bacillota; Clostridia; Eubacteriales.
UGAGUAGCUUGCUAUGAACUGUUUUAGCGGCGGACGGGUGAGUAACGCGUGGGUAACCUGCCUCAUACAGGGGGAUAACAGUUAGAAAUGACUGCUAAUACCGCAUAAGACCACAGCAUCGCAUGAUGCAGUGUGAAAAACUCCGGUGGUAUAAGAUGGACCCGCGUUGGAUUAGCUAGUUGGUGAGGUAACGGCCCACCAAGGCAACGAUCCAUAGCCGACCUGAGAGGGUGACCGGCCACAUUGGAACUGAGACACGGUCCAAACUCC